GACGAACGCUGGCGGCGUGCUUAACACAUGCAAGUCGAACGCUGAAGCUCAGCUUUUGUUGGGUGGAUGAGUGGCGAACGGGUGAGUAACACGUGAGUAACCUGCCCCCUUCUUUGGGAUAACGCCCGGAAACGGGUGCUAAUACUGGAUAUUCACUGGUCUUCGCAUGGGGGUUGGUGGAAAGGGUUUUUCUGGUGGGGGAUGGGCUCGCGGCCUUUCAGCUUGUUGGUGGGGUGAUGGCCUACCAAGGCUUUGACGGGUAGCCGGCCUGAGAGGGUGACCGGUCACAUUGGGACUGAGAUACGGCCCAGACUCCUACGGGAGGCAGCAGUGGGGAAUAUUGCACAAUGGGCGCAAGCCUGAUGCAGCGACGCCGCGUGAGGGAUGGAGGCCUUCGGGUUGUGAACCUCUUUCGCUCAUGGUCAAGCCGCAACAAUGGUUGUGGUGAGGGUAGUGGGUAAAGAAGCGCCGGCUAACUACGUG
RNAcentral lists this ribosomal RNA (483 nucleotides) under uncultured bacterium. Its description in RNAcentral is "partial 16S ribosomal RNA". It matches the Rfam family "Bacterial small subunit ribosomal RNA", at positions 28 to 507 of the family's 1533-position model. The record is from RNAcentral.